This 506-nucleotide ribosomal RNA is filed under the name uncultured bacterium. RNAcentral's name for it is "partial 16S ribosomal RNA". It matches the Rfam family "Bacterial small subunit ribosomal RNA", at positions 28 to 523 of the family's 1533-position model. The record is from RNAcentral.
GAUGAACGCUAGCUACAGGCUUAACACAUGCAAGUCGAGGGGUAACGAGAGGAAAGCUUGCUUUCCUUGUCGACGACCGGCGCACGGGUGAGUAACGCGUAUCCAACCUGCCCCCAACUAGGGAAUAACCUUGCGAAAGUAAGACUAAUACCCUAUAAUUUCCUCAGAUGACAUCUGACGAGGAAUAAAGAUUUAUCGGUUGUGGAUGGGGAUGCGUCUGAUUAGCUUGUUGGCGGGGUAACGGCCCACCAAGGCAACGAUCAGUAGGGGUUCUGGGAGGAAGGUCCCCCAGAUUGGAACUGAGACACGGUCCUAACUCCUACGGGAGGCAGCAGUGAGCAAUAUUGGUCAAUGGUCGGAAGCGUGAACCAGCCAAGUAGCGUGCAGGAUGACGGCCCUAUGGGUUGUAAACUGUUUUUAGACAGGAAUAAAGUUAGCCACGUGUGGUUAUUUGGAGGUACUGUAUGAAUAAGGACCGGCUAAUUCCGUGCCAGCCGCCGCGGUAA